This 2805-nucleotide ribosomal RNA is filed under the name Enterobacter hormaechei. RNAcentral's name for it is "23S ribosomal RNA". It matches the Rfam family "Bacterial large subunit ribosomal RNA". The record is from RNAcentral. Lineage: Bacteria; Pseudomonadati; Pseudomonadota; Gammaproteobacteria; Enterobacterales; Enterobacteriaceae.
UGACCCGGCGAUGUCCGAAUGGGGAAACCCAGUGCAAUUCGUUGCACUAUCGUUAACUGAAUACAUAGGUUAACGAGGCGAACCGGGGGAACUGAAACAUCUAAGUACCCCGAGGAAAAGAAAUCAACCGAGAUUCCCCCAGUAGCGGCGAGCGAACGGGGAGCAGCCCGGAGUCUGAAUCAGCUUGUGUGUUAGUGGAACGGUCUGGAAAGUCCGACGGUACAGGGUGAUAGUCCCGUACACGAAAGCACACAUGCUGUGAACUCGAAGAGUAGGGCGGGACACGUGGUAUCCUGUCUGAAUAUGGGGGGACCAUCCUCCAAGGCUAAAUACUCCUGACUGACCGAUAGUGAACCAGUACCGUGAGGGAAAGGCGAAAAGAACCCCGGCGAGGGGAGUGAAAAAGAACCUGAAACCGUGUACGUACAAGCAGUGGGAGCCUCUUUAUGGGGUGACUGCGUACCUUUUGUAUAAUGGGUCAGCGACUUAUAUUCUGUAGCAAGGUUAACCGUAUAGGGGAGCCGAAGGGAAACCGAGUCUUAACUGGGCGUUAAGUUGCAGGGUAUAGACCCGAAACCCGGUGAUCUAGCCAUGGGCAGGUUGAAGGUUGGGUAACACUAACUGGAGGACCGAACCGACUAAUGUUGAAAAAUUAGCGGAUGACCUGUGGCUGGGGGUGAAAGGCCAAUCAAACCGGGAGAUAGCUGGUUCUCCCCGAAAGCUAUUUAGGUAGCGCCUCGUGAACUCAUCUUCGGGGGUAGAGCACUGUUUCGGCUAGGGGGCCAUCCCGGCUUACCAACCCGAUGCAAACUACGAAUACCGAAGAAUGUUAUCACGGGAGACACACGGCGGGUGCUAACGUCCGUCGUGAAGAGGGAAACAACCCAGACCGCCAGCUAAGGUCCCAAAGUCAUGGUUAAGUGGGAAACGAUGUGGGAAGGCACAGACAGCCAGGAUGUUGGCUUAGAAGCAGCCAUCAUUUAAAGAAAGCGUAAUAGCUCACUGGUCGAGUCGGCCUGCGCGGAAGAUGUAACGGGGCUAAACCAUGCACCGAAGCUGCGGCAGCGACACUAUGUGUUGUUGGGUAGGGGAGCGUUCUGUAAGCCGUUGAAGGUGUGCUGUGAGGCAUGCUGGAGGUAUCAGAAGUGCGAAUGCUGACAUAAGUAACGAUAAAGCGGGUGAAAAGCCCGCUCGCCGGAAGACCAAGGGUUCCUGUCCAACGUUAAUCGGGGCAGGGUGAGUCGACCCCUAAGGCGAGGCCGAAAGGCGUAGUCGAUGGGAAACAGGUUAAUAUUCCUGUACUUGGUGUUACUGCGAAGGGGGGACGGAGAAGGCUAUGUCAGCCGGGCGACGGUUGUCCCGGUUUAAGCAUGUAGGCGGAGGUUCCAGGUAAAUCCGGUACCUUUUAACGCUGAGGUGUGAUGACGAGGCACUACGGUGCUGAAGUGAUAAAUGCCCUGCUUCCAGGAAAAGCCUCUAAGCAUCAGGUAACAUCAAAUCGUACCCCAAACCGACACAGGUGGUCAGGUAGAGAAUACCAAGGCGCUUGAGAGAACUCGGGUGAAGGAACUAGGCAAAAUGGUGCCGUAACUUCGGGAGAAGGCACGCUGAUGUGUAGGUGAAGCCCCUGCGGGCGGAGCUGAAAUCAGUCGAAGAUACCAGCUGGCUGCAACUGUUUAUUAAAAACACAGCACUGUGCAAACACGAAAGUGGACGUAUACGGUGUGACGCCUGCCCGGUGCCGGAAGGUUAAUUGAUGGGGUUAGCGGCAACGCGAAGCUCUUGAUCGAAGCCCCGGUAAACGGCGGCCGUAACUAUAACGGUCCUAAGGUAGCGAAAUUCCUUGUCGGGUAAGUUCCGACCUGCACGAAUGGCGUAAUGAUGGCCAGGCUGUCUCCACCCGAGACUCAGUGAAAUUGAACUCGCUGUGAAGAUGCAGUGUACCCGCGGCAAGACGGAAAGACCCCGUGAACCUUUACUAUAGCUUGACACUGAACACUGGUCCUUGAUGUGUAGGAUAGGUGGGAGGCUUUGAAGCGUGGACGCCAGUCUGCGUGGAGCCGACCUUGAAAUACCACCCUUUAAUGGCUGGUGUUCUAACGUAGACCCGUAAUCCGGGUUGCGGACAGUGUCUGGUGGGUAGUUUGACUGGGGCGGUCUCCUCCCAAAGAGUAACGGAGGAGCACGAAGGUUGGCUAAUCCUGGUCGGACAUCAGGAGGUUAGUGCAAUGGCAUAAGCCAGCUUGACUGCGAGCGUGACGGCGCGAGCAGGUGCGAAAGCAGGUCAUAGUGAUCCGGUGGUUCUGAAUGGAAGGGCCAUCGCUCAACGGAUAAAAGGUACUCCGGGGAUAACAGGCUGAUACCGCCCAAGAGUUCAUAUCGACGGCGGUGUUUGGCACCUCGAUGUCGGCUCAUCACAUCCUGGGGCUGAAGUAGGUCCCAAGGGUAUGGCUGUUCGCCAUUUAAAGUGGUACGCGAGCUGGGUUUAGAACGUCGUGAGACAGUUCGGUCCCUAUCUGCCGUGGGCGCUGGAGAAUUGAGGGGGGCUGCUCCUAGUACGAGAGGACCGGAGUGGACGCAUCACUGGUGUUCGGGUUGUCAUGCCAAUGGCACUGCCCGGUAGCUAAAUGCGGAAGAGAUAAGUGCUGAAAGCAUCUAAGCACGAAACUUGCCCCGAGAUGAGUUCUCCCUGAGACUUUAAGUCUCCUGAAGGAACGUUGAAGACGACGACGUUGAUAGGUCGGGUGUGUAAGCGCAGCGAUGCGUUGAGCUAACCGAUACUAAUGAACCGUGAGGCUUAACCUU